Molecule: ribosomal RNA, 459 nt
Filed under: uncultured bacterium
Lineage: Bacteria
Description: partial 16S ribosomal RNA
Rfam family: Bacterial small subunit ribosomal RNA
Source: RNAcentral
CCUACGGGAGGCAGCAGUGAGGAAUAUUGGUCAAUGGGCGCGAGCCUGAACCAGCCAAGUCGCGUGAGGGAAGACGGUCCUAUGGAUUGUAAACCUCUUUUGUCGGGGAGCAAAAGACGCCACGCGUGGCGGUCCGAGAGUACCCGAAGAAAAAGCAUCGGCUAACUCCGUGCCAGCAGCCGCGGUAAUAUGGAGGAUGCGAGCGUUAUCCGGAUGUAGUGGGUUUAAAGGGUGCGUAGGCGGACUUUUAAGUCAGCGGUAAAAUGUCCGGGCUCAACCCGGGCCGGCCGUUGAAACUGGGGAUCUUGAGUGGGCGAGAAGUAUGCGGAAUGCGUGGUGUAGCGGUGAAAUGCAUAGAUAUCACGCAGAACUCCGAUUGCGAAGGCAGCAUACCGGCGCCCGACUGACGCUGAGGCACGAAAGCGUGGGGAUCGAACAGGAUUAGAUACCCGUGUAGUC